UUUGCGAGCUUAGUCUGGGGAAUUGUCCCAAACUAACGGGGAAAAUACCGUUAGACUACUUCCCAAGACUUGAGCGGCUAAGUUUGCAGAACGUUAAAAUCGUAUAUUUUGUGGGUGGUGGAGUGUUGCUUGCGCCCAACUUGUGGUCAGUGCCAGAAGAUCUGCAAAUCUCGCUCCCAUCUCUUCAGUCUCUGUCCAUAGAAGGGUGUAAAGAAUUUAAAUCAUUUCCGGAAGAAUCUAAAUUCCCAUCCCUAAAAAAUUUGAAGAUAAAGGAGUGCCCAGAAUUUGUUGGUUUCCCCCAUGGGGGAGGACUGCAAGCGCCCAACUUGAAGACGAUGCAAAUCAAAGAAUGUAACAAAUUCAGGUCACUGCCAGAGGAGAUGCACGCUUCUCUCCCGUCCCUUCAGUGUCUGUCCAUAGAAGGGUGUAAAGAAUUUGUGGGUUUCCCCCAUGGAGGAGGACUGCAAGCGCCCAACUUGAAGAUGAUGCAAAUCAACGAAUGUAACAAAUUCAGGUCACUGCCAGAGGAGAUGCAAAUCUCUCUCCCGUCUCUCUCGUCUUUGUAUAUAUGGGAUUCUCCAGAAUUGGAAUCAUUUCCGGAAGGGGGAUUGCCGUCCAAAUUGCGUUACCUCAUUAUCUGGUGUUGUAAAAAACUGAUGGCAAACCGUAUGCGGUGGGGUCUACAAACACUCACCUCUCUCAAAUUCUUGGAUGUCAGCUUCUCAGGAUGUGAAGAAGAAGAAAUUGUCGAAUCAUUUCCAGAAGAGGGGCUGCUGCCAAUCACUCUCACUUCUCUCGGAAUCUCCCAUCAUCCGAAUCUGAAAACCAUUGACGGCAAGGCCUUAAGACACAUCAUCUCUCUCGAGGAGUUGUAUAUUUUUUAUUGUCCUCAACUCCAGAGCUUGCCAGAUGAAGGGCUACCCACUUCUCUUUCUUUUCUACAUAUCACCGGGUCUGAUUUGCUAACACAACGGUGUCAGAGAGACACAGGAGAAGAUUGGCCCAAGAUUUCUCACAUCCCCAACGUAAGGAUUAAUGACCGAAAGAUAUGAUUUGCAAUGCAUUGGACAGCUACCAUCUCUCAGAAGGCUUGAAACUGAUGGGUUAAAUGGAGUGGAAUUGUUUCAGUGUUGGUUCUACUCUCCCUCUUUUCUUACUGUGUCUUAUGGUGGUUUCAUUAUACGACAGUUUGUUGUAUCGAACUAGUCCUCGGGGAAAAAGGAGCUUCAACAAGUUUACGAAAUUACGACCUCUAGUUUCCAAAUCUCCUUUUUCAAGUUUUUUUUUUCCAAAUCAUGUCUAUUGAGAGGUAGAUUUUGGUACUUUGUGGAAUUUGAAUUCAAACGCUUGGUUUGUAAAAUAUGGAUGAUGAAUUUCGUUUCUGUGGAACUGUGAAUCAAUGAUCAUGCAUGAAUGUUGUAAGACUAGAGUAUCAAAAACCCUCUGUUUACUAA
Molecule: non-coding RNA, 1454 nt
Organism: Malus domestica (apple)
Lineage: Eukaryota; Viridiplantae; Streptophyta; Magnoliopsida; Rosales; Rosaceae
Source: RefSeq, a predicted model, not a curated record